UGAGGAAUAUUGGGCAAUGCCCGCAAGGGUGACCCAGCAACGCCGCGUGGAGGAUGAAUGUCGUAAGAUUGUAAACUCCUGUUAGAGGGGAAGAAUAGUACCGGUUGGACCGGUAUAUGACUGUACCCUCAGAGAAAGCCCCGGCUAACUACGUGCCAGCAGCCGCGGUAAUACGUAGGGGGCAAGCGUUGUCCGGAUUUACUGGGUGUAAAGGGCGCGCAGGCGGGAUAAAAAGUCAGUGGUGAAAUCCUACAGCUUAACUGUAGAACUGCAUUUGAUACUUUUAUUCUUGAGUUCGGGAGAGAGAGACGGAAUUCCAGGUGUAGUGGUGAAAUACGUAGAUAUCUGGAAGAACACCAGUUGCGAAGGCGGUCUCUUGGUCCGAAACUGACGCUGAGGCGCGAAAGCGUGGGGAGCAAACA
Molecule: ribosomal RNA, 422 nt
Filed under: uncultured bacterium
Lineage: Bacteria
Description: bacterial SSU rRNA
Rfam family: Bacterial small subunit ribosomal RNA
Source: RNAcentral